GCAGCUGUAGCUCAGCUUGGUUAGAGCGCCUGACUGUGGAUCAGGAGGUCGUUGGUUCGAGUCCAACCAGCUGUACCA
Molecule: transfer RNA, 78 nt
Filed under: Alphaproteobacteria bacterium
Lineage: Bacteria; Pseudomonadati; Pseudomonadota; Alphaproteobacteria
Also listed under: 1 other name
Description: tRNA-His
Rfam family: tRNA
About the family: Transfer RNA (tRNA) molecules are approximately 80 nucleotides in length. Their secondary structure includes four short double-helical elements and three loops (D, anti-codon, and T loops). Further hydrogen bonds mediate the characteristic L-shaped molecular structure. tRNAs have two regions of fundamental functional importance: the anti-codon, which is responsible for specific mRNA codon recognition, and the 3' end, to which the tRNAs corresponding amino acid is attached (by aminoacyl-tRNA synthetases). tRNAs cope with the degeneracy of the genetic code in two manners: having more than one tRNA (with a specific anti-codon) for a particular amino acid; and 'wobble' base-pairing, i.e. permitting non-standard base-pairing at the 3rd anti-codon position.
Source: RNAcentral